RNAcentral lists this ribosomal RNA (253 nucleotides) under uncultured bacterium. Its description in RNAcentral is "partial 16S ribosomal RNA". It matches the Rfam family "Bacterial small subunit ribosomal RNA", at positions 524 to 776 of the family's 1533-position model. The record is from RNAcentral.
UACGUAGGGACCAAGCGUUGUUCGGAUUUACUGGGCGUAAAGGGCGCGUAGGCGGCAUGACAAGUCACUUGUGAAAUCUCCGGGCUUAACUCGGAACGGCCAAGUGAUACUGUCAAGCUAGAGUGCAGAAAGGGCAAUCGGAAUUCUUGGUGUAGCGGUGAAAUGCGUAGAUAUCAAGAGGAACACCUGAGGCGAAGGCGGGUUGCUAGGCUGACACUGACGCUGAAGCGCGAAAGCCAGGGGAGCAAACAGG